AACGCACAUUGCGCCCCUGGGUAUUCCUGGGGGCAUGCCUGUCCGAGCGUCAUUUCAACCCUCAAGCACAGCUUGGUCUUGGGCCAUGCCGGGAACGGCCGGCCUUAAAACUAGUGGCGGUGCCGCCGGGCUCUACGCGUAGUAGUUAUUUCUCGCGUUUGGGUCCCGGCGGACGCUGGCCAGCAACCCUCAAUUUUUUAUGGUUGACCUCGGAUCAGGUAGGGAUACCCGCUGAACUUAA
This 241-nucleotide unclassified non-coding RNA is filed under the name uncultured fungus. RNAcentral's name for it is "partial contains 5.8S ribosomal RNA, internal transcribed spacer 2, and large subunit ribosomal RNA". The record is from RNAcentral. Lineage: Eukaryota; Fungi.